AAGCGCUGAAAGCGCUCUUGUACUAACAUAUUACCCACACCAUGCCCUAAAAUAAGAAGAAAUAUUCCAAGCAUUUCUGUUACAUCGAUAUUUCUAGAUCCUUGAAGGCCAUAACUCGUUACUAAAUCAUGCAUUAAACUAUUAAACACAAUCCUAUCCAUUCUAAACAUUUGAUAGCACCUUAUCGGAUUAGCAUCUUCGCCCAUCAACUCUUCUAACCAUUUAUUUCCUGUAUAUGAAGUAUGUCAUACAGGGUUCUUUGUAAUUGUACAUUGCACGAUAAGCCACUGCAGCUCGAGCAAUUCCCACAAUUUGCCAAUAUUCUUCUUCCUCUUUGUCAUGAUUUUCCCCUUCAGGAGAAUCAUCCAUAAUAACUACUUUGAGCAA
This is a long non-coding RNA of Rhodamnia argentea, 387 nucleotides long. RefSeq lists it as uncharacterized. The record is from RefSeq and is a predicted model, not a curated record. The transcript has 3 exons. Lineage: Eukaryota; Viridiplantae; Streptophyta; Magnoliopsida; Myrtales; Myrtaceae.